Molecule: ribosomal RNA, 253 nt
Filed under: uncultured bacterium
Lineage: Bacteria
Description: partial 16S ribosomal RNA
Rfam family: Bacterial small subunit ribosomal RNA
Source: RNAcentral
UACGUAGGGUGCGAGCGUUAAUCGGAAUUACUGGGCGUAAAGCGUGCGCAGGCGGUUUUGUAAGUCAGAUGUGAAAUCCCCGGGCUUAACCUGGGAACUGCGUUUGAAACUACAAGGCUAGAGUGUGGCAGAGGGGGGUGGAAUUCCACGUGUAGCAGUGAAAUGCGUAGAGAUGUGGAGGAACACCGAUGGCGAAGGCAGUCCCCUGGGUUAACACUGACGCUCAGGCACGAAAGCGUGGGGAGCAAACAGG